GAGGGUACAGCUCAGUGCUAGAGCGCGUGUUUAGCACGCAGAAGGCCCUGGGUUCAAUCCCCAGUACCUCA
This 71-nucleotide transfer RNA is filed under the name Camelus bactrianus (Bactrian camel). It matches the Rfam family "tRNA". From Rfam's summary of the family: Transfer RNA (tRNA) molecules are approximately 80 nucleotides in length. Their secondary structure includes four short double-helical elements and three loops (D, anti-codon, and T loops). Lineage: Eukaryota; Metazoa; Chordata; Mammalia; Artiodactyla; Camelidae. RNAcentral also lists the same sequence under 2 other names. The record is from Rfam by way of RNAcentral.